GACGAACGCUGGCGGCGUGCUUAACACAUGCAAGUCGAACGGAAAGGCCCUGCUUUUGUGGGGUGCUCGAGUGGCGAACGGGUGAGUAACACGUGAGUAACCUGCCCUUGACUUUGGGAUAACUUCAGGAAACUGGGGCUAAUACCGGAUAGGAGCUCCUGCUGCAUGGUGGGGGUUGGAAAGUUUCGGCGGUUGGGGAUGGACUCGCGGCUUAUCAGCUUGUUGGUGGGGUAGUGGCUUACCAAGGCUUUGACGGGUAGCCGGCCUGAGAGGGUGACCGGCCACAUUGGGACUGAGAGACGGACCAGACUCCUACGGGAGGCAGCAGUGGGGAGUAUUGCGCAAUGGGCGGAAGCCUGAUGCAGCAACGCCGCGUGCGGGAUGACGGCCUUCGGGUUGUAAACCGCUUUCGCCUGUGACGAAGCGUGAGUGACGGUAAUGGGUAAAGAAGCACCGGCUAACUACGUG
Molecule: ribosomal RNA, 468 nt
Filed under: uncultured bacterium
Lineage: Bacteria
Description: partial 16S ribosomal RNA
Rfam family: Bacterial small subunit ribosomal RNA
Source: RNAcentral